Molecule: long non-coding RNA, 258 nt
Organism: Myripristis murdjan (pinecone soldierfish)
Lineage: Eukaryota; Metazoa; Chordata; Actinopteri; Holocentriformes; Holocentridae
Exons: 3
Source: RefSeq, a predicted model, not a curated record
UGAUUCACCUUUGUAUUUGCACCACUACUGAGGAGAGAGGAAAUAACAAAAGGCUGCAGCAACUGGUGAAACAUAACAUUGAUUAAAGGCGAUUUAUUGCAUUUCAAUCAGGAAUUUAAGGUAGCUCGGAGAUGGCGAUGGGUAUGAACAGACAGAGAACCACACUUCUCUGUGCUAUGUUUCUGAUUUCACUGGUAAUGGUGAGUGCAUCCACGACAUCCACGACAGCAGCAACACCAACCACAACUGCGUCCCCCA